CAAUCGAACCCGGAGAUAGCUGGUUCUCCUCGAAAUAGCUUUAGGGCUAGCCUCGCAUUAGUUUACCGGAGGUAGAGCACUGAAUGGUCUAGGGGGCCUCACCGCCUACCGAAACCUAUCAAACUGCGAAUGCCGGAUAAAUGAUGUGCGGGAGUCAGGCCGCGAGAGAUAAGUUCCGCGGUCAAAAGGGGAACACCCCAGAUCGUCUGCUAAGGUCCCCAAGUACGCGUUAAGUGGGAAAGGAUGUUGGAUUGCACAGACAACCAGGAUGUUGGCUUAGAAGCAGCCACACAUUCAAAGAGUGCGUAAUAGCUCACUGGUCGAGUGAUCCAGCGCCGAAAAUGUAACGGGGCUAAAACGCGACACCGAAGCAGCGGGAUGCGUAAGCAUCGGUAGAGGAGCAUUGUGUGAGGGUUGAAGCCAGAGCGGGAGCACUGGUGGACUUCACAGAAGAGAGAAUGCCGGUAUGAGUAGCGAGACCCAUGCGAGAAACAUGGGCGUCGAAGGCCCAAGGUUUCCUGGGGAAGGUUCAUCCACCCAGGGUAAGUCGGGACCUAAGCCGAGGACUGAGGUCGUAGGCGAUGGACAGCAGGUAGAGAUUCCUGCACCACUUAUACUUGUUUGACGAAGCAGUGACACAGAAGGAUAGGACGAGCGCGGUGAUGGUCAACCGCGUAGGCGGCACGAGGCCGGGAAGCAGUGAAGUACACUUCCCGCAAAGGCUGAGUGUUGACAGGACCGAAAAGAAGUAGGGAAGCGUCCGAGUUCACGCUGGCGAGAAAAGCUGCUAAGGAGAGUGUGAGUGCCCGUACCGGAAACCGACGCAGGUGGGCGAGGAGAGAAUCCUGAGACGGACGGGAGAACUCUUGUUAAGGAACUCGGCAAAAUGACCCCGUAACUUCGGGAGAAGGGGUGCCUCGAAAGAGGCCGCAGAGAAUAGUCACAAGCGACUGUUUAGCAAAAACACAGGUAUCUGCGAAAGCGAGAGCUGACGUAUAGGUGCUGACGCCUGCCCGGUGCUGGAAGGUUAAGGGGAAGUGUUAGGGGAAACCCGAAGCAGAGAACCGAAGCCCCAGUAAACGGCGGCCGUAACUAUAACGGUCCUAAGGUAGCGAAAUUCCUUGUCGGGUAAGUUCCGACCCGCACGAAUGGCGUAACGACUUGUGAGCUGUCUCAACAGGAGGCCCGGUGAAAUUGAAGUAUGUGUGAAGAUGCACAUUACCCGCGACUGGACGGAAAGACCCCGUAGAGCUUUACUGUAACCUGACAUUGGAUCUUGAUAACGGAUGCACAGGAUAGGUGGGACGCUGGGAGACGAGGACUUUGGUUUUCGUGGAGCGGCCGUUGGGAUACCACUCUUCUGUUAUUGAGAUUCUAACCUCAAGCCGUGAGCCGGAUGAGAGACAGUGUCAGGCGGACAGUUUGACUGGGGCGGUCGCCUCCGAAAGAGUAACGGAGGCGCCCAAAGGUACCCUCAGAAUGGAUGGAAACCAUUCGAAGAGAGCAAAGUCAGAAGGGUGCUUGACUGCGAGACCAACAAGUCGAGCAGGUACGAAAGUAGGGCUUAGUGAUCCGGCGGUAAGAGAGUGGAAUUGCCGUCGCUCAACGGAUAAAAGCUACCUCGGGGAUAACAGGCUGAUCUCCCCCAAGAGUUCACAUCGACGGGGAGGUUUGGCACCUCGAUGUCGGCUCGUCGCAUCCUGGGGCUGAAGCAGGUCCCAAGGGUUUGGCUGUUCGCCAAUUAAAGCGGCACGCGAGCUGGGUUCAGAACGUCGUGAGACAGUUCGGUCCCUAUCCAUCGUGGGCGAAGGACACAUGAGAGGAGCUGCUCCUAGUACGAGAGGACCGGAGUGGACGCAUCACUGGUGCAACUGUUGUCGUGCCAACGGCACAGCAGGGAAGCGAAAUGCGGACGGGAUAAACGCUGAAGGCAUCUAAGCGUGAAGCCCACCUCAAGAAUAAGUGUCCCAUUCGAAAGAAGUAAGACCCCUGGAAGACUACCAGGUGAUAGGUCAUCGGUGAAAGAGUGGUAACAUUUGGAGCUUGAUGAUACUAAUCGGUCGAGGACUUGAUCUA
This 2076-nucleotide ribosomal RNA is filed under the name human gut metagenome. RNAcentral describes it as "bacterial LSU rRNA". It matches the Rfam family "Bacterial large subunit ribosomal RNA", at positions 830 to 2925 of the family's 2925-position model. The record is from RNAcentral.